UCUGUGAAAUUCCGGGGCUUAACUUCGGGGUGGCAGGCGAUACGGGCAUAACUAGAGUGCUGUAGGGGAGACUGGAAUUCCUGGUGUAGCGGUGGAAUGCGCAGAUAUCAGGAGGAACACCGAUGGCGAAGGCAGGUCUCUGGGCAGUAACUGACGCUGAGGAGCGAAAGCAUGGGGAGCGAACAGGAUUAGAUACCCUGGUAGUCCAUGCUGUAAACGGUGGGCGUUAGGUGUGGGGACCGGUUUGGUUUCUGUGCCGUAGCUAACGCAUUAAGCGCCCCGCCUGGGGAGUACGGCCGCAAGGCUAAAACUCAAAGGAAUUGACGGGGGCCCGCACAAGCGGCGGAGCAUGUGGAUUAAUUCGAUGCAACGCGAAGAACCUUACCUGGGUUUGACAUGCACCAGACGGUUGUAGAGAUACGUACCUCCCUUUGUGGUUGGUGUGCAGGUGGUGCAUGGUUGUCGUCAGCUCGUGUCGUGAGAUGUUGGGUUAAGUCCCGCAACGAGCGCAACCCUUGUCUUAUGUUGCCAGCACUUUGGGUGGGGACUCAUGAGAGACUGCCGGGGUUAACUCGGAGGAAGGUGGGGAUGACGUCAAAUCAUCAUGCCCUUUAUGCCCAGGGCUUCACACAUGCUACAAUGGUUAGUACAACGCGCUGCGAACCUGUGAGGGUGAGCGAAUCGCUGAAAGCUAAUCUCAGUUCGGAUUGGGGUCUGCAACUCGACCCCAUGAAGUCGGAGUCGCUAGUAAUCGCAGAUCAGCAAUGCUGCGGUGAAUACGUUCCCGGGCCUUGUACACACCGCCCGUCACGUCAUGAAAGUUGGUAACACCCGAAGCCCAUGGCCUAACCACCGUUUGGUGGGG
Molecule: ribosomal RNA, 865 nt
Filed under: uncultured bacterium
Lineage: Bacteria
Description: bacterial SSU rRNA
Rfam family: Bacterial small subunit ribosomal RNA
Source: RNAcentral